RNAcentral lists this long non-coding RNA (2359 nucleotides) under Mus musculus (house mouse). Its description in RNAcentral is "long non-coding RNA chr12:57536250-57538609". The record is from RNAcentral. Lineage: Eukaryota; Metazoa; Chordata; Mammalia; Rodentia; Muridae.
AGUCAGUGUAUCCGCCUCCACCUGAAAAAUGGUCAUAACUGGGCGUCUAGGCGUGAAGCUCAAAGCUCCUAGGUGGAACCCAAAGCUAGACAAAUGUCCCACCAAAAACGUUCCAGCCGCCUAGUUAGUGCAGAGAAAACCGGUGUUGGGGAGCACAGAAGAUACAAGACACUGAUUUCCUCCCUCCUGCGUAAAGGACCCUUAAAAUUACAUCCAUAAACGAAACAAACCUCCACAGAGACCCUUACAGUCUUCUCAUUCAAUCGACGUUUUAAAAAUAGCUUCUCGAUGUCAGAGAAAGGGGAAAAGAAGAAGAAAAGGAGAAUCUGAGGCGGUGAUUGGACAAGCAAUAGGGGAACAAACUUCAGAGGAAACGGGAAGAACCCCAGACUUCUACUUUCUUUGAUUAUUCCCAAUUUCCAGGCAAUGCUUUGGAGUGGAGGGGAGAAUUUCCAGGUGGUUUCUCUUAGGUUCAAGGGCUUCAGGGCCCCCCUAUGUGUAAUCCUUAAGAGGAGUUUGGGAAGGUAGAAGGCGACUUUAUGAGUAGAACUUUGAAUCCUGUUUCCCCGGGUGCCCCAGGUCAGGUUCUGUGUCGGAUUUCAACAGACUAGCAUCUCACCUGGAUUCUAAAGCCCGGAACACAGCCCUUUCCUCCCCAGAUUUUAAGGGAUGAUACCCUGCCUCGAAAUUCCAAGUCCACUGCAGUUUUAGCGCACUCCAAAGUAUCCUGAGGUAGCAUUUCUAAGCCUCCGCUCGCGGGGCUGCAGAGCUGUGUGAUCGUAGCUAUAGCAAUUGGAGAGCUAGAGAGAAAUAGAGGCAAGAAAGUCAGUAAAAGUGAGUGACUUCUCCCUAGGUCAGGUUUUAAAAUGUUUGGAAUGAAAAUGUGUUUUACAGGUGACAACUGAACUUCUUAGGUAUUCUCCAGUCCCACACUGCUGGAGGAAAGGGGGCGGGGGUGAGGCUUGUAAACCCAGCUGUGCAAAGUUCAAUGAAUGGAGCUGGCCUGGGAGGGAAAAAGAGAAAUACCAAUGGCAUCAUUAUGUCCCAAAGUUAACUAUUUGGAAGGUAGAGGAGACUUAAAGAAGUCUAUGUUAGAUGUAUUUGGACAGCUAACUACUAACCUUAGGUAGAACUAAUGUGGCUACUUUUUAAAAUGUCUUCUCUAUGCGGUGGAUUGAUUCGAAUGACGUUCUGAGCUCUGCUAUGCUAUUUUGCCCUUACAUUCUUAGUCUCCUGGGACUCUCUUGAGGUGUAAUUACACUUUCAAUUUGGGUAAAUUUUAUACCUAAAUUUCAACAUAAUUUGAUUACCUAUUUAGGUCAGGGUGGCUUGUAAUAAUCUCUUCUUGCGCUCAAUUAUCUUGAACCAAGGGGCAUUUUCUAACUGCAUUUGGUUGUAAAACACAUCCACAAUUCAAGCAAAUAGUUAAUUUUCAAGACAAUUUUUAAAAGUUUAUUAAAUACAUACUACAUAAUUUAAGCAAUUUUAUUUUCAAUGAGGUUUUUUCCCUCUUGACAUAUUGAAGUGUCACAUUAAAAUACAUUAUAGCUAAAUGUUCUAUGAUAUUACUGCUAAAUCAACAGAAAGCCAAUUGAUCUUGGGGAAAGGUUAAUUAAUUUGGGCUACAGGUCUCCUACUUUCGUCUGUAAUGAAAAGAAUUUCUAUUGAUCAAGGCAGGUUUUUUUGUAAAGAAACUUAAUAAGCAUUUUUCCUGGAACUAAGAUCAAUAUUUUAAAUGCCAAAACAACAGAAUUUCCUAAUUUUAUCAUUCUUGGAAUUCUCUCCUGUCGUGGUUCAUUCAAAACGGUUAAACUCGAGAAAAAAAAAAUGUUUAACAGUUUCAGUAAAAUCCGCCUUCUGAAAAAAGAAAGCAGAAGUUAAGAACUUCACUAGCAUAUGCUUAUUUUCAUCGCUUAUUAUUUCCCAUCCGUCUUUCUGAAGUGUGGGAGGCCACUAAGGGACAAUAGAAAUUGGAUUUUAUCUUUGAGAUUUGAAGGUGAUCUCGGCCGAUCUCACAGAAACCGGGCUGAGCUGCCUUCUGCUUGGGAACACUUCGGAGUUUUUAGUUGCGCUAAAUAGAAUUUCCUUAUCUUGGGCUCUUUUUUGUUUUGUUUUGUUUUCAAUCAAGGUUUAAAAGGGUUUCAGAGCUGAGCUUCUAAACACAAGGUGAAAGUCAUUAUUGAGGCUCCCCUCCCAGGAAGGCGCUGCACUCACUACCCAAAGGCCUUUCGGUGCUACUGUUUACUCCGUGGCGUGGCGGAUCCCACGGCCCCUGGAGCUUUCCACUUGGGUCAGUUGGAAGCCUUUUCCCUCCUCGCUGCCCCCGCUUCCGGCCCCUCCCCCAUCCCGAGCAAAAUUC